RNAcentral lists this ribosomal RNA (624 nucleotides) under uncultured archaeon. Its description in RNAcentral is "bacterial SSU rRNA". It matches the Rfam family "Archaeal small subunit ribosomal RNA", at positions 141 to 766 of the family's 1478-position model. The record is from RNAcentral.
UGAGAAUAAUCCCCGAUAGAUCACAGUGCCUGGAAUGGCCUGUGGUUCAAAUGAUUUAUCGCCGUAGGAUGGGACUGCGGCCUAUCAGCUAGUUGGUGAGGUAAUGGCCCACCAAGGCUAUAACAGGUACGGGCUCUGAGAGGAGGGGCCCGGAGAUGGGUACUGAGACACGGACCCAGGCCCUAUGGGGCGCAGCAGGCGAGAAACCUUUGCAAUGUGCGAAAGCACGACAAGGUUAAUCCGAGUGUCUCCUGCUAAAGGAGUCUUUUGUCAGUCGUAGAACCACUGGUGAAUAAGGGGUGGGCAAGUUCUGGUGUCAGCCGCCGCGGUAAAACCAGCACCUCGAGUGGUCAGGAGGUUUAUUGGGCCUAAAGCAUCCGUAGCCGGCUGUCUAAGUUUUCGGUUAAAUCUAUGCGCUUAACGUAUAGGCUGCCGAAAAUACUGGACAGCUAGGGAGUGGGAGAGGUACACGGUACUCGAUAGGAAGGGGUAAAAUCCUUUGAUCUAUUGAUGACCACCUGUGGCGAAGGCGGUGUACCAGAACACGUUCGACGGUGAGGGAUGAAAGCUGGGGGAGCAAACCGGAUUAGAUACCCGGGUAGUCCCAGCUGUAAACGAUGCAGA